Molecule: ribosomal RNA, 461 nt
Filed under: uncultured bacterium
Lineage: Bacteria
Description: partial 16S ribosomal RNA
Rfam family: Bacterial small subunit ribosomal RNA
Source: RNAcentral
CCAACGGGUGGCAGCAGUGAGGAAUAUUGGUCAAUGGGCGGGAGCCUGAACCAGCCAAGUCGCGUGAAGGAAGAAGGUACUUAGUAUUGUAAACUUCUUUUGUGCGGGAGCAAUAAUGGUCACGUGUGGCCAGACGAGAGUACCGUACGAAUAAGCAUCGGCUAACUCCGUGCCAGCAGCCGCGGUAAUACGGGGGAUGCAAGCGUUAUCCGGAUUUAUUGGGUUUAAAGGGUGCGUAGGCUGUGAGGUAAGUCAGCGGUGAAAUGCCCCCGCUCAACGGGGUGAAGUGCCAUUGAUACUGCCUUGCUGGAAUGCGGAUGCCGUGGGAGGAAUGUGUGGUGUAGCGGUGAAAUGCAUAGAUAUCACACAGAACACCGAUUGCGAAGGCAUCUCACGAAUCCGCGAUUGACGCUGAUGCACGAAAGCGUGGGUAUCAAACAGGAUUAGAUACCCGAGUAGUC